This is a long non-coding RNA of Cotesia glomerata, 233 nucleotides long. RefSeq lists it as uncharacterized. The transcript has 3 exons. The record is from RefSeq and is a predicted model, not a curated record. Lineage: Eukaryota; Metazoa; Arthropoda; Insecta; Hymenoptera; Braconidae.
CCUAGACCGUAGGUGUGUGUAUCUCAGAGGCUGAGGAAAAUCUGCCUCGUGCCCCUUGACUCUUGAGGGUGUUAGCCUUUGCUAACACUUAGCGUUGGUCUUGGGGUCCCGUGACGUCAUGAGCCCUUUGAAUGCCGGGGAAGAGAUUUUAUGGCCCAAAGAGUACGGUGGUUGACGCAAAAUUUUCGAGAGUGGAAAAGUACUCCCACAAUUCAAUAUAAAUUCAUUUCGAU